UCCAGACUCCUACGGGAGGCAGCAGUGAGGAAUAUUGGUCAAUGGGCUUACGCCUGAACCAGCCAAGUCGCGUGAGGGAAGACUGCCCUAUGGGUUGUAAACCUCUUUUGUCAGGGAGCAACGCCGGCUACGUGUAGCCGGACUGAGAGUACCUGAAGAAAAAGCAUCGGCUAACUCCGUGCCAGCAGCCGCGGUAAUACGGAGGAUGCGAGCGUUAUCCGGAUUUAUUGGGUUUAAAGGGUGCGUAGGCGGUCCGUUAAGUCAGCGGUAAAAUUGCGGGGCUCAACCCCGUCGAGCCGUUGAAACUGCAUCCCUUGAGUGCGCGAGAAGUAUGCGGAAUGCGUGGUGUAGCGGUGAAAUGCAUAGAUAUCACGCAGAACUCCGAUUGCGAAGGCAGCAUACCGGCGCGCAACUGACGCUCAUGCACGAAAGCGUGGGUAUCGAACAGGAUUAGAUACCCGAGUAA
This 466-nucleotide ribosomal RNA is filed under the name uncultured bacterium. RNAcentral describes it as "bacterial SSU rRNA". It matches the Rfam family "Bacterial small subunit ribosomal RNA", at positions 330 to 793 of the family's 1533-position model. The record is from RNAcentral.